GUCAUAUGCUUGUCUCAAAGAUUAAGCCAUGCAUGUCUCAGUACAAGCCAAAUUAAGGUGAAACCGCGAAAGGCUCAUUAAAUCAGUUAUGGUUCCUUAGAUCGUACCCACAAUUACUUGGAUAACUGUGGUAAUUCUAGAGCUAAUACAUGCAAACAGAGCUCCGACCGGAGACGGAAGGAGUGCUUUUAUUAGAUCAAAACCAAUCGGUGGCGGGUUCAACGCUCGUCAUCGUACAACUUGGUGACUCUGAAUAACUUUACGCUGAUCGCACGGUCAUCGCACCGGCGACGCAUCUUUCAAAUGUCUGCCUUAUCAACUGUCGAUGGUAGGUUCUGCGCCUACCAUGGUUGUAACGGGUAACGGGGAAUCAGGGUUCGAUUCCGGAGAGGGAGCCUGAGAAACGGCUACCACAUCCAAGGAAGGCAGCAGGCGCGCAAAUUACCCACUCCCGGCACGGGGAGGUAGUGACGAAAAAUAACGAUACGGGACUCAUCCGAGGCCCCGUAAUCGGAAUGAGUACACUCUAAACCCUUUAACGAGGAUCAAUUGGAGGGCAAGUCUGGUGCCAGCAGCCGCGGUAAUUCCAGCUCCAAUAGCGUAUAUUAAAG
This 611-nucleotide ribosomal RNA is filed under the name Trigonopterus kurandensis. RNAcentral describes it as "SSU rRNA". It matches the Rfam family "Eukaryotic small subunit ribosomal RNA", at positions 23 to 609 of the family's 1831-position model. Lineage: Eukaryota; Metazoa; Arthropoda; Insecta; Coleoptera; Curculionidae. The record is from RNAcentral.